RNAcentral lists this long non-coding RNA (607 nucleotides) under Panax ginseng (ginseng). RNAcentral's name for it is "long non-coding RNA (PGIN_LNC001492)". The record is from RNAcentral. Lineage: Eukaryota; Viridiplantae; Streptophyta; Magnoliopsida; Apiales; Araliaceae.
UCCGGUAUUUGAACUGCAUGCCUCGGGGUUAUCUCCGUGGUUGGAACUGAUACUCCCAGGGUGUGUUUCUGGGUUGAGACUGAACUUCUGGUGGUAUCCGGACUGGAUAUGAGCUGUCUUCCAGGGUUAUCUCUGAAAGAAGAAUUUGCCCCCCUGCAAUGUCAAUGACAGGUGUGUAGAAAAUUUCGAGUGUCUACAGAUGCCCCUCUUUAUCAUAUUCAUACAAUGCAAUGGCAUGGAUAGGAUAAAGAAUCCUAGACACUUGAAAAUGCAACAAGAUAAACAUGAUGCCAUGUGCAGCAACAUGAUGCAAAUGUAUGAUGCAGAUGUGUUGUUGGAUUGUUCUCCAACAUGUUGGGAUGAUUGUCGGCUCCCUGCUGCUUCUGCCUGGGAUCGGCAACGAUGACAAGCUUGGACGUGUGCUCCAAAUCUUUUAGGAUGUUGACGUUGGGGCUAUCACCAAAGUCCUUAAUCCUUGAUACAGACUUUAUUCUGAAGAUGUGCCUCUCAUGUACAAGAGAUCUGUGGGGAUAAAGCUUUGUCUGUUUUGAGGAUAUGUAUAAUCGAUCCUCCCCGAUGAUGUUGAUCCUUCCUAGUUUGUAUCGCC